RNAcentral lists this long non-coding RNA (1049 nucleotides) under Heterocephalus glaber (naked mole-rat). Its description in RNAcentral is "lncRNA (ENSHGLG00100045984.1)". Lineage: Eukaryota; Metazoa; Chordata; Mammalia; Rodentia; Bathyergidae. The record is from RNAcentral.
GUGAAAUUCACCAGCUCUGAAAUCAACAAGCUGCCGGCUCGGGAGCUACGGAGCCAACAGCGGCGUCCCCAUUUAAAGGGACAGCGCACCCGGUGGAGAGAAGAAAUAAAUACUCGAAGAGGUCUGCGCGCCCGGAUCGCUCGCCAGCGUGUGUUCCGCAGACGCGCGAGGUGCGGACGUGUUCUCUCCACACCUCCGCCGCCCCCACUGGGCUCGCCAAGCGCAUUCAAGGAUAAAAGAGUCUUCUCGGCGGCUUCUAAGGGCGUGUCCCCGCGAGGACGUCUGUCUGCGGGCGCGUUUGCAUCUCUACCCCGGGAACCCCGACACCUUUAGAUGGCGAAAGGAACCUACCUGCUUUAAGGAAUAUGAAACCGAUCUUCUCUUUUGAAGGAAAGAGAUGAAAGGAAGAAUGAAGAGAAAGACAAUUACUGAAAGAUGUUCAAGAAUGUCUGAACUUUGUUUAAAAAAUAAUGCAUACAUCCAGAGUUUUGAAGAAUGCCUGAACAGUCCACCGUCUACGGAAGUACUAAGGACAAGAUUUUUAUCCCUGUUCAGAUACUAGAAUCUCUCCUAAAAUAGAGUGAACAACCUCAGGGAUGAUCAUCAGGAGCUCAAUCCCAGAGUACGAAGACUCCAAAGUCACUUUCAGAGACUUCCCUGGUGACACUGAGGAGUGACAAGAACCAGCACAGAAGCCCAUGUGUCUCAUGCUAGAGAUGUUCGACUCCUAGACCCUGAGUGAAGGAAGUCUUUCCUGCCGAGUGACCCCUGCUUUGGGGAAGACCCAGAGAGUGGAGAGCACUGGGAGAGUUGGGACUGGAGAGAGUGGAGGGAAACCAUCUAAGAGAAGUUGGCAGCAGACAAAAGAAAGGCUUGGCCAGAGAAAGCAGCCCACUUAUAUUGUUGGACAGAAUCUGACAAAGCAGACAAGAAAUGUCAACGUGAAUGCUAUUCCUUCCACCACAGCAAUCUACAAUUCACGAAGAGCAGCUGAGGACACAGAUAAAAGAGAAAGAGCAAGUCUGCAAAUGCAACCUCAGUGAAUGGCC